UGUCUAACUCCGCCUGUAGAUCCUCCGGGGGCUACUGCUGGUCCCAAGUCCAGGUAAAGGAGGAGGGUUGGGCA
Schistosoma mansoni is the source of this 74-nucleotide non-coding RNA. The record is from Rfam. NCBI's taxonomy places the organism in Eukaryota, Metazoa, Platyhelminthes, Trematoda, Strigeidida, Schistosomatidae.